UGGGGAAUAUUGGACAAUGGGCGAAAGCCUGAUCCAGCCAUGCCGCGUGUGUGAAGAAGGUCGUCGGAUUGUAAAGCACUUUAAGUUGGGAGGAAGGGCAUUAACCUAAUACGUUAGUGUUUUGACGUUACCGACAGAAUAAGCACCGGCUAACUCUGGGCCAGCAGCCGCGGUAAUACAGAGGGUGCAAGCGUUAAUCGGAAUUACUGGGCGUAAAGCGCGCGUAGGUGGUUUGUUAAGUUGGAUGUGAAAGCCCCGGGCUCAACCUGGGAACUGCAUCCAAAACUGGCAAGCUAGAGUACGGUAGAGGGUGGUGGAAUUUCCUGUGUAGCGGUGAAAUGCGUAGAUAUAGGAAGGAACACCAGUGGCGAAGGCGACCACCUGGACUGAUACUGACACUGAGGUGCGAAAGCGUGGGGAGCAAACA
Molecule: ribosomal RNA, 427 nt
Filed under: uncultured bacterium
Lineage: Bacteria
Description: partial 16S ribosomal RNA
Rfam family: Bacterial small subunit ribosomal RNA
Source: RNAcentral